CAUGCAAGUCGAGCGGAGAUGAGGUGCUUGCACCUUAUCUUAGCGGCGGACGGGUGAGUAAUGCUUAGGAAUCUGCCUAUUAGUGGGGGACAACAUUCCGAAAGGAAUGCUAAUACCGCAUACGUCCUACGGGAGAAAGCAGGGGAUCUUCGGACCUUGCGCUAAUAGAUGAGCCUAAGUCGGAUUAGCUAGUUGGUGGGGUAAAGGCCUACCAAGGCGACGAUCUGUAGCGGGUCUGAGAGGAUGAUCCGCCACACUGGGACUGAGACACGGCCCAGACUCCUACGGGAGGCAGCAGUGGGGAAUAUUGGACAAUGGGGGGAACCCUGAUCCAGCCAUGCCGCGUGUGUGAAGAAGGUCUUAUGGUUGUAAAGCACUUUAAGCGAGGAGGAGGCUACUGAGACUAAUACUCUUGGAUAGUGGACGUUACUCGCAGAAUAAGCACCGGCUAACUCUGUGCCAGCAGCCGCGGUAAUACAGAGGGUGCGAGCGUUAAUCGGAUUUACUGGGCGUAAAGCGUGCGUAGGCGGCUUUUUAAGUCGGAUGUGAAAUCCCCGAGCUUAACUUGGGAAUUGCAUUCGAUACUGGGAAGCUAGAGUAUGGGAGAGGAUGGUAGAAUUCCAGGUGUAGCGGUGAAAUGCGUAGAGAUCUGGAGGAAUACCGAUGGCGAAGGCAGCUCUCUG
Molecule: ribosomal RNA, 683 nt
Filed under: uncultured Acinetobacter sp.
Lineage: Bacteria; Pseudomonadati; Pseudomonadota; Gammaproteobacteria; Moraxellales; Moraxellaceae
Description: bacterial SSU rRNA
Rfam family: Bacterial small subunit ribosomal RNA
Source: RNAcentral